Molecule: long non-coding RNA, 3313 nt
Organism: Mesoplodon densirostris (Blainville's beaked whale)
Lineage: Eukaryota; Metazoa; Chordata; Mammalia; Artiodactyla; Ziphiidae
Exons: 6
Source: RefSeq, a predicted model, not a curated record
GUCUGCUGAUGGGUGGGGCUGAGUUCCCUUCCUGCUGGUUGUUUGGCCUGAGGUGAUCUGGCACUGGAGCCUACAGGCUCUUUGGUGGGGCUAAUGGCGGACUCUGUGAAGGCUUAUGCCAAGGAGUACUUCCCAGAACUUCUGCUGCCUGUGUCCUUGUCCCCGUGGUCAGCCACAGCCACCUCCUGCCUCUGCAGGAGACCCUCCAACACUAGCAGGUGGUGAUAAAGGCUACAAUCAGGCUAGUCAAGAAAGACCUUUCUGAUAAGGAGACACCUGAACACAUCCCUCAGUGCCAGUCUGGUGGCUGACAGCCUCCUCCAUCUCAGGCAGUGGACGCUCAUUGAAUACCAUGGCUGUAAAGGAACAGCAAGAAGGUGUGCAAAAGGGAAGAAGAACAUUGAAUUGAUGAGAAGCAUCAUGAAUAAAGAUUUGAAACCAACAUGAAAUGACAAGGUUUCAAAUUUUCUUCCCUGAAAGAACUCACUGCUCCCUGAUAUUUUUCCCUUCUCUUCCUUAUGCUGUUUCACCCUAAGUAGUGGAUCCUUGACAAGUUUCGCUUAGACAUCAUGGAGAUGGUACUCUACAAGCAUCCCACACAGGGCCUUUAUGGUUGGUUUCUCAAGAAGCAGAUGCUGAGAUGGAGACUGGUGUGAAAGACGUAUACUACAAAUCAAAACCUGUAAAAGAAAGGAGGCAGGAUUGAACAAGGGAGAGAUUAAAUGUGAUUCACUCUUGGCAAAAUCUUGGCCAAUUCUUGUGGGGAACCCUGGGACAAAUAUUGAGUGUUGCCCAUCAUGAUUGACUUUCGCUGGGACAAAGUGACUGGGCAUUUCCAAGAUCUUCCUCCAAGAAGUCUUGCCUUAUCCUAUGAGAGACUUAUUCUUUCUUCUGCUGACGUACUGUAAGGUUUUGAAGGUGACCAACUGUGAGGCAUCAUCUUAAUUUUCCUCAUGUUAUUAAUCACAGGCCAACUCAUGAGGCAAUUCUACUCUUUCAUCCUGUGUCCCUGCCAAAGAUCAUUAAUGUGAUCUUUUUUGCUGUCUCACAGUUCAGUGCAGGUUUCCAAACAAGCAGCUCCAGGCCAUCUCAAGUGCAUGUAGAUUAAGACACAAUCAUCUUCCCUUGCAAACAGAAGUGCUCAAAAGUUGUUUAUUAAAAGAAUUAAAACAGGGCUUCCCUGGUGGCGCAGUGGUUGAGAGUCCACCUGCCAAUGCAGGGGACACGGGUUCGUGCCCUGGUCUGGGAAGAUCCCACAUGCCAUGGAGUGGCUGGGCCUGUGAGCCAUGGCUGCUGAGCCUGUGCGUCCGGAGCUUGUGCUCUGCAAUGGGAGAGGCUACAACAGUGAGAGGCCCGCAUAGCACAAAAAAAAAAAAAAAAAAAAGAAAGAAAACAUAAUAUCUCACUCUUCAUUAUCUGUCUACAUACUCAAACGUAUCUUUUAUCCUAAAGUAAUGAUACUCUAAGUUCUUCUAAACCUACAUAGUGAGCUCCUUCAGGGAAGAUACCAUGGGUUUUCUGUCUUUGUAUCCCUGGUACCUAAUAGUGGUAAUAAUAGUAAUAAGUCUAUAUUUCAGGCCACUGUUUGCAUGUAUUACCCUUUUUUUAAUUACUUAAAACAGUUCCAUGAGGUAUAUAGAAUUAUUUACAGAUUAGAUAAUUGCAGAGAAAAAUACAUUUUUGUAAGAUUCAUAAGUUAGUUAUAAUAAAAACUACAAAAAUCUAUUGUAAGACAAUAGUUAGGACAAAAAACUAUUGGCUCCAAAGUUAACACUUCCUGUUGCUCUUCAAUAGUGCUCACUGGAUUUUGGAUAGUUAGGAGGAAAAGAGGAAGGGAAGGCAGAAAGGAGACAGAGAUCAACCGGACAGAGAGACUACACACAUCUUGGUAAAUAUGUCACAGUAAAAUUUUGAAUAAAAACAACAGUUGGAUCAAUAACCAGGGGCCACUUUUUAAAUGAUGCAGAAUGUGUGUUACUGCAAAAGAAAGCAAAAGGUACUUUGUAAUACCAGAACAGAGGGCAGCCAAUUGGAGUUUUGAUUGUAUACAAAAAAUAAAAAGACAAACAAGGCAGAGAUCUGAGAAUUGGAGUGGAAUGGGUCUGGGGUUUGAAAUCAGGCAACGGGUUUUUGAACUUGAUCUAUUCUAGGGAAGCAGUGAGGGCACCUCAUAAGGAAGGUGGCACUAUGGAAGAGAGAGAAUUCAGCAUUUGAUAAAGCGAAUUCUGAAAUUUCUUCUACUGAUGUUAUCAUUCACUGCUGAGGACUUUGGUCUUAUCUCUUUGAAAACAUAAAAGAAGGCUAAUUCAUUUUAAGAGCAAUGUUCUAUUUGUCCCUCUGCAGUCCACUCAAUGAGUUAAUGUAUUUAGAAAGCUUUUAUCAUGGAGACAGCUUGGUUUCUCCCUUCCUCAUACUAAGUAAAUUUCAGUGAAUUAAAUGACAAAAAGCCAUCUGCUUUCUAUAAAUAAGCUCCUCUAAUACCUGGCAAAUCUUAAAAGUCAAGCUGACAACGAAUCUCAGCAUGAUCAAUGAUCCAGACUAUAUAAUUCAUCUGCUGCUGAGGGAUACUGGUCUUGUUGUGGUCAACAGGAAGAGGAUAUGUCCAUGUUUCUGACUUGGAGGUCAACGUUUUAUAGGAAAUUCAAUUUUACUCUGAUAAUCAUUGCACAUGCUGUUCCAACUGUCAGGAUUAAGUAUCUUCUGUUACAAUUUGAGACAACCUACGCAUCCUUAAAUAGUCAUCUCAAAUGCAUCUUCCUCAUGACAGCUGCUCUAAUUCAUUUUUAGACAAUUUAUUAUUUUCAUCAUUAUUUUCACAAUAAUAAACUUAUUGGUAGUAAUCAUAAUUAUCAUUUAAUUACUAAGAAAUUAAUAUGGGCUAGCCAUUUACAUGCAUCAUUUACAUUAAUUUCUCAUGACAACUCUUGGAGAUAAAUACAAAUAUCACCUUAAUUAACUGUAUGAGGAAAGCAGGGCAGAGAACAGUUUAAAAGUUCCCCCAAACAGAUAUCUAAUGACAGAACAAAGUGUGGGACCAGAGCAAUGUGAAAUCAAAAGUAUUUGUGUUAAUCACUAUGCCAUGAACGUGCAAGUACAGCACUUUCCUAAUUAUAGUAUUUAUAUUUAUGUAUAUAUCCAUCUACCCCAAUAAAAUAGAAAAGCCUUGAGUGGUGAGACCAUGUAUCAUUCAUUUUUGUUUUAGCAGCCUUUACAAUAAUGAGUGGCCUAUAGAAGAUAUUCAAUUAAACUUUUCUAAGCCUCUUUUCCAAUUUACAGGUGAGAGACUAGUAAUAACAGGCACAUUACAAUUUGU